GCCUUAGGGUCGUAAAGCUCUUUCGCUGGGGAAGAUAAUGACUGUACCCAGUAAAGAAACCCCGGCUAACUCCGUGCCAGCAGCCGCGGUAAUACGGAGGGGGUUAGCGUUGUUCGGAAUUACUGGGCGUAAAGCGCGCGUAGGCGGAUUGGAAAGUUGGGGGUGAAAUCCCGGGGCUCAACCUCGGAACUGCCUCCAAAACUCCCAGUCUUGAGUUCGAGAGAGGUGAGUGGAACUCCGAGUGUAGAGGUGAAAUUCGUAGAUAUUCGGAAGAACACCAGUGGCGAAGGCGGCUCACUGGCUCGAUACUGACGCUGAGGUGCGAAAGUGUGGGGAGCAAACAGGAUUAGAUACCCUGGUAGUCCACACCGUAAACGAUGAAUGCCAGUCGUCGGCAAGCAUGCUUGUCGGUGACACACCUAACGGAUUAAGCAUUCCGCCUGGGGAGUACGGUCGCAAGAUUAAAACUCAAAGGAAUUGA
RNAcentral lists this ribosomal RNA (481 nucleotides) under Roseobacter sp. S13. RNAcentral's name for it is "bacterial SSU rRNA". It matches the Rfam family "Bacterial small subunit ribosomal RNA", at positions 414 to 913 of the family's 1533-position model. The record is from RNAcentral. Lineage: Bacteria; Pseudomonadati; Pseudomonadota; Alphaproteobacteria; Rhodobacterales; Roseobacteraceae.